Molecule: ribosomal RNA, 315 nt
Filed under: Triticum aestivum (bread wheat)
Lineage: Eukaryota; Viridiplantae; Streptophyta; Magnoliopsida; Poales; Poaceae
Description: partial small subunit ribosomal RNA
Source: RNAcentral
AUGCCUGCACAUUUGCCGCGAUCCCAGGCCGAGGGGUAUUGGCACCAAGCUUCUGUCAAAAAAAGUGUUGUGUUUGUGUGGUGCAACAGGGAGAGAGAGAGAAAGGAGAUGAUCAUCAUGCUAGUAUCAUACCUGAAUGUCACCCUCGCUGUAGGCUCGCCGGAGCCCGAAGGCGGCCUCGAAGUCGAGCCCUUGGAAGUCGAGGAAGUUGGGCCUCACCGCCGACCCGUUCAUCCAGUCGCCCGAGCUGAGGCACCCGGAGCUGACGCUCUUCUGGAGCGAGCACUCGCCGGUGCCGGCGGCAACUGUCGAUGA